CAAUAGCGUAUAUUAAAGUUGUUGCAGUUAAAAAGCUCGUAGUUGAACUUCAGGCUUGGCGGGGUGGUCUGCCUAACGGUAUGUACUAUCCGGCUGAGCCUUACCUCCUGGUGAGCCUGCAUGUCGUUUAUUCGGUGUGUAGGGGAACCAGGAAUUUUACUUUGAAAAAAUUAGAGUGUUCAAAGCAGGCAUAUGCCCGAAUACAUUAGCAUGGAAUAAUAGAAUAGGACGUGCGGUUCUAUUUUGUUGGUUUCUAGGGUCGCCGUAAUGAUUAAUAGGGACGGUUGGGGGCAUUAGUAUUCAGUUGCUAGAGGUGAAAUUCUUAGAUUUACUGAAGACUAACUACUGCGAAAGCAUUUGCCAAGGACGUUUNCAUUAA
Molecule: ribosomal RNA, 379 nt
Filed under: uncultured eukaryote
Lineage: Eukaryota
Description: partial 18S ribosomal RNA
Rfam family: Eukaryotic small subunit ribosomal RNA
Source: RNAcentral